RNAcentral lists this ribosomal RNA (460 nucleotides) under uncultured bacterium. Its description in RNAcentral is "partial 16S ribosomal RNA". It matches the Rfam family "Bacterial small subunit ribosomal RNA", at positions 338 to 795 of the family's 1533-position model. The record is from RNAcentral.
CCUACGGGUGGCAGCAGUAAGGAAUAUUCGUCAAUGGACGGAAGUCUGAACCAGCCAUGCCGCGUGCAGGAAGACGGCUCUAUGAGUUGUAAACUGCUUUUGUACAAGGGUAAACCUGAAUACGUGUAUUCUGCUGAAAGUACUGUACGAAUAAGGAUCGGCUAACUCCGUGCCAGCAGCCGCGGUAAUACGGAGGAUCCAAGCGUUAUCCGGAUUUAUUGGGUUUAAAGGGUACGUAGGCGGAGUGAUAAGUUAGAGGUGAAAUGUCUGAGCUUAACUCGGGAACUGCCUCUAAUACUGUUGAUCUAGAGAGUAGAUGCGGUAGGCGGAAUGUAUGGUGUAGCGGUGAAAUGCUUAGAGAUCAUACAGAACACCGAUUGCGAAGGCAGCUUACCAAUCUAUAUCUGACGUUGAUGCUCGAAAGUGUGGGUAUCAAACAGGAUUAGAUACCCUGGUAGUC